Molecule: long non-coding RNA, 2207 nt
Organism: Bombyx mori (domestic silkworm)
Lineage: Eukaryota; Metazoa; Arthropoda; Insecta; Lepidoptera; Bombycidae
Exons: 4
Source: RefSeq, a predicted model, not a curated record
AAACAUUUUACAUGUGGAAGAAAUGAUCUCUAGAAGUAACACUGUGAACGAACUCAGUGGAUUUUGGUAGCUGAAGUUGCCCUUCGCGUUUUUCCGUGACCCUAGCUUUCCCGUUUCGAUUAGUUUUCAAUUCUUGUUACAUUGCGUGCAAACUAAAAAUUAUUUAAUAAAAAAAAACGAUUCUAAUUCAAAAUCAAUAAAAAAAGACCAUUGUGGUUUCUUUGUGAUAUUAUGUCGAUAUUACGAGAAUUGCUGCUUUUAGGGAAAAUUUCCAAUACAUUGCAUAUCGGCUCUCAAUCGCCUAACUUAAAGGCAACCGAACCUUUAAAUUUUGGCAUAAAAAAGAAAUCACAAAGUGGCAGGUAUGGGCUAAGCACGGGAACAGCUAUUGGGCCUCACUAUUUCUUCUUCUUUUUCUUCACCUUACUCCACUAGGUGGGGUCGGCGCAGCUAAUUUUUUUCUUCCAUUCACUUCUAUCAGCCGUCAUCUCAACACUCACUCCUCUCUCUCUCUCAUAUCGUCAUUCACAAACUCCAUCCAUGUCUUCUUUGGUCGACCUCAUCCCCCUUGCACUACCUUGCACUACCAUUUCCAUACAUCUCCUAGUCACAUGCAUCUUCUCUCUACGCAUCACAUGUCCAUACCACGCUAACCUAAUUUCUUUUUUUAGGGGCUUACUGAAGAGGCUAUACCCAACGCUUAGCCAGGAUUAGUUGGUGCGUGUUCAGACGGUUCGUAGUACACUGUACCUGUUUCCCUGAUCUUCUAACCAGCGCCGGGCGUCAGGAAAUACUCCAAAAGAUGCGAGCAUAGAAUCUUCUGUUCGAGCGCCACGUCCGAAGCCUAGUGUAGCUCCAGCGUCUUGGCCCAGCUGACCUCCGUAGAAGUCACCGAAAGCCGUCGCCGUCCCGAGUUGAAUUAGAAGAGCUUUGAACGGGAGCGAGCAAAAAAUCCGAGAAAAUGUUUAUAUACUACCCUGGAGAUCCCGAGGACGAACGAUAUGUAUCGAACUUAGCCCGAGAGGUUCGUUUGAUCAGCGGCUCGAAUUUGUUCCUUAGAGCCGACCAGUGGCUCAACUGUGUUGAAACAUUGUCGGAGCUUUUUGACUGGUCCGAUGACCUGACACUGGCAAUCGCUUGCCGAUCUCUGGUGAAUCACGAGGCGGAAUGGCUGCGUGCCGAAGGUCCCUUCGUUACGUAUGAGGAACUUAAAUCGGUUGUGAUAGAGGAGUUUAUAGUCAAAAAUAGGCGUUGUGAAAAAAUCGAUAUUUCUUCCAGGUCCAUUUAAAUGAAAUUUUUGAAAUUUUACUUCCACCUCAUGUUCACUAUAAUUAUGGGAAUAAUCACAUUAUGUAAAGGCAUAUAAGCUUAUAAAGAUAGAGUACAUAUAGCAAGUACCCUUUGGCAGAAACAUGAAGUUCCACAUACUGCGAAUUGGUUCAUUCUUCUUCCACCGUAAAUGUGUAUUAACCGCCUGAUUUAACCCUUUAGUACUUGUAAAAAAGCACAUAUUUACAGAAUCAAAACAGAGCACCAUGUCACCACACAAUCAAAAUCAAAUAGCUCUUGAGACUCUUCCAAAGUGACAUUGAACUUUUUCAAUUCCCAUCAUUUCACAAAAACGAUCGUUGAAGAUGAUUAGAAUAACUAAAAGGGACUAAAAGGUCGAGUUACCAAAUGCCGGAAAUAAAUUGACACAAAGGCACAGACUAUCCUAAUUUUUACAAGGCAGAGAUUAAAUUAAUAUUUACAUUAGCUGAUAUUGGUCCCACAAUCACGACCAAGGAACUAAUUUAUGUUAAUUAUAUUAAAAACGAAAUCUACACACGUAUUGUCUUAGUAUUAUGAAACAUGACAAGAUGAGAACGCCUAUCGAUCUACUGCAUAUCUGACACUAAGGAAAUUUCGUCGUGUUUGCUAAUUUAUUAUUAUUAUAUUUUUAUGUUAUAUGCACACUAUAUUUUCAAUAUUAAAUCGACAGCAAAUGCAAUUGUAACACUUAUCCGUAAAUGUUUAACGUUAAAAAUAAAUUUGAAAAUCAUAUGAUAUUUGUGUAUACGUGCUUAUUAAUAUAAAUCGUUAAAACAUGCAGAUUUUGAAAUAUACUGUUUCUAGAGUUCUUUCUUCUUUGAUGUUGUAACUAAUCUGAAUAAAUACGAAUUUAAUUCUAUGUGUUGAUGGAUAUUAAUAAAGAAUAAUUAAAUGUG